This is a non-coding RNA of Spodoptera litura, 1207 nucleotides long. The record is from RefSeq and is a predicted model, not a curated record. NCBI's taxonomy places the organism in Eukaryota, Metazoa, Arthropoda, Insecta, Lepidoptera, Noctuidae.
GAUUUUCGUAACGUGUAACGGAUUCCUGAUAUCUUUUCUGAUGAUUUUGUCUUUGUUCAACGGUAACUCUGAUUUUGCGAAUUGGAUUUGUCUGCCAAUCGGGAAUCUUUUGUUAUUUCUUAUGAUAAAGGUGUCUACUUAAAUAAAUUAAAAAUAUUUACAAAUCAGCUAGAAUGGGAACACGAGUUUAACUAUCUAUGUUUUGCAGGUUCUUUGGUUUGGUGAAAAUGGCUUGUGUGAAAUACAAUAAACCUAUACACAGUGAUGAAGUUCACUAUUUUGCAGCAGAUUUGGGUCCUUUUGUUUAUUAUUGAACAAGACAUGGGUCGAGAGAUUGCUUCUGAUGGUGCAUUAUGCAAGACAUGUUUUAAUUCCUUUACUAAUCCUUAGAGUACUAAUAGUGGUACUGAAGUAAUGCUGGAUGAUGUAAAACCCAUAAGUGAAACAUGUGAAUCAAAUACAUGUGUAUGGUGCCUUCUAUCACUCACAACAAAGAGGACACAUUGUUUACCAAGGGGCCACUGAGAGAUGCAAUAUCCAAUGUAAUUGCCCCAAGAGAGAUACCAGAUGGUAGCAUUGUUUGUCAUCGAUGUUAGGUGCCUGCCUGCAGACUGGUAAAUGUAUCAGGACCAAAUUCUGGCCAAUCGCAACACACGUGUGUAUGGUGUAGACAUUCUCUCUCUCGGAGAUGAUCUCACACAAUUCCUCAAGGUCCUGAAAGAGAUGAAAUCACAGCAAGGAUAGCUCCACGACAGAUACUGCCUGGAGACAGAGUGUGUUAUGCAUGUUGGGUAUCUGCUAGAAGAAACGUACUACAGACAACUAAUCUUCACCGAAAUAGGAAUGUUUGUGUUGUAUGUUCUACUUCAACAGUAAGACGUCGCACACGUUUAUUAAUGAAUAGUCCAGAAAAAGACGUAAUUUCCAGAAGAAUAUACCCUAGACCGGUCUGUGAAAUAUUUAACUGUACAUCUUUGAAAUAGGUAUCUAUCUGUGAAUGUAUGAGUUUAUUCUGUUGUUUUUACAGGUCAGUGGUCAUUAAUUAGUAGGUAUGUAAUGAAUGUUAGAUUUGGGCUCAAAAUGCUGUUCAACUGGAAACUGAACAGCUUGUCGCUGACCUUGAACCCAAGAGAGAAGAAUCUUCACAGGAUUUGGAUAUGCCUCGUCACAUACAAUUAAUUUUUUUUAUUUUUUUAUUUAAAAAACG